GAUGAACGCUGGCGGCGUGCCUAAUACAUGCAAGUCGAGCGAACAGAUAAGGAGCUUGCUCCUUUGACGUUAGCGGCGGACGGGUGAGUAACACGUGGGUAACCUACCUAUAAGACUGGAAUAACUCCGGGAAACCGGGGCUAAUGCCGGAUAACAUUUAGAACCGCAUGGUUCUAAAGUGAAAGAUGGUUUUGCUAUCACUUAUAGAUGGACCCGCGCCGUAUUAGCUAGUUGGUAAGGUAACGGCUUACCAAGGCAACGAUACGUAGCCGACCUGAGAGGGUGAUCGGACACACUGGAACUGAGACACGGUCCAGACUCCUACGGGAGGCAGCAGUAGGGAAUCUUCCGCAAUGGGCGAAAGCCUGACGGAGCAACGCCGCGUGAGUGAUGAAGGUCUUCGGAUCGUAAAACUCUGUUAUUAGGGAAGAACAAAUGUGUAAGUAACUGUGCACGUCUUGACGGUACCUAAUCAGAAAGCCACGGCUAACUACGUG
This 497-nucleotide ribosomal RNA is filed under the name uncultured bacterium. Its description in RNAcentral is "partial 16S ribosomal RNA". It matches the Rfam family "Bacterial small subunit ribosomal RNA", at positions 28 to 507 of the family's 1533-position model. The record is from RNAcentral.